This 980-nucleotide ribosomal RNA is filed under the name Leucocoprinus gongylophorus. RNAcentral's name for it is "LSU rRNA". It matches the Rfam family "Eukaryotic large subunit ribosomal RNA", at positions 90 to 1117 of the family's 3401-position model. The record is from RNAcentral. Lineage: Eukaryota; Fungi; Basidiomycota; Agaricomycetes; Agaricales; Agaricaceae.
CGAGUGAAGUGGGAAGAGCUCAAAUUUGAAAUCUGGCAGUCUCUGGCUGUCCGAGUUGUAAUCUAGAGAAGUGUUGCCCGCGCUGGACCGUGUACAAGUCUCCUGGGAUGGAGCGUCAUAGAGGGUGAGAAUCCCGUCUCUGACAUGGACUACCAGGGCUUUUGUGGUGCGCUCUCAAAGAGUCGAGUUGUUUGGGAAUGCAGCUCAAAAUGGGUGGUAAAUUCCAUCUAAAGCUAAAUAUUGGCGAGAGACCGAUAGUGAACAAGUACCGUGAGGGAAAGAUGAAAAGAACUUUGGAAAGAGAGUUAAACAGUACGUGAAAUUGCUGAAAGGGAAACGCUUGAAGUCAGUCGCGUUGGCCAGGGAUCAGCCUUGCUUCUUAGUGUGGUGUACUUCCUGGUUGACGGGUCAGCAUCGGUUUCGACUGCUGGAGAAAGGCUUGGGGAAUGUGGCAGCUCUGGCUGUGUUAUAGCCUCCUGUCAGAUACAGUGGUUGGGACUGAGGAACGCAGCAUGCCGCAAGGCCGGGGCUAAUAUCAGCCUACGUUCAUGCUUAGGAUGUUGACAUAAUGGCUUUAAGCGACCCGUCUUGAAACACGGACCAAGGAGUCUAACAUGCCUGCAAGUGUUUGGGUGGAAAACCCAUGUGCGUAAUGAAAGUGAAAGUUGAGAUCCCUGUCAUGGGGAGCAUCGACGCCCGGACCAGAACUUCUUGGGAUGGAUCUGCGGUAGAGCAUGUAUGUUGGGACCCGAAAGAUGGUGAACUAUGCCUGAAUAGGGUGAAGCCAGAGGAAACUCUGGUGGAGGCUCGUAGCGAUUCUGACGUGCAAAUCGAUCGUCAAAUUUGGGUAUAGGGGCGAAGACUAUCGAACCAUCUAGUAGCUGGUUCUGCGAUUUCCCUCUCAAGGAAUAAGAAACCUUACUAGAGAGGUUCCGAUAUAGAGUCUCUCUGCCCUAUACCAAUUUGACGAUCGAAUUUGC